Molecule: RNA transcript, 2773 nt
Organism: Sebastes umbrosus (honeycomb rockfish)
Lineage: Eukaryota; Metazoa; Chordata; Actinopteri; Perciformes; Sebastidae
Gene name: heterogeneous nuclear ribonucleoprotein D0-like
Exons: 8
Source: RefSeq, a predicted model, not a curated record
ACGCUGUCAGACUCAUCAUAUUUUUAGAAACUGAAACUGAAUAUUUACCUUCAUGAAACACAAUUUAGCCUAAAUUCAGACUCAUUUUUACAGUUUAAUUUGACUUAGAGGAACUAAAUAGCUUGCUAUAAUUAACCCCAGGAGUUUACAGCUUAAGAUAUAUAUGAUACAAAACAAUAUUAGCUUAUCAUUAGCAACUAGCUUAGCUUCUGUUCUGCAGGGGAUUCUGACGUACUUCGAGUUUUAAAGAAGUCACAACGAUGUCGGACGACUAUGAGUUCAGCGAUGACACGACUAUGAUGAGAAUGGAGGAGGAUGGAGAGGCGAACAGUGAUGAUCCGAUGUCUGCGGCCGGAGACUGUGGUCUGAUGGGAGGCGAGGCCGAGGGGUCGAGGAUUGAUGCCAGUAAAAACGAGGAGGAUGAGGGGAAGAUGUUUGUCGGAGGGCUCAGCUGGGACACCACCAAGAAGGACCUGAAAGAUUACUUUUCCAAGUAUGGCGAGGUUGUAGACUGCACUUUGAAACUGGACCCCAUGACUGGCCGUUCAAGGGGUUUUGGCUUUGUGCUCUUCAAAGAACCUGACAGUGUUGACAAGGUUGUCACACAUAAGGAACAUAAACUCAAUGGAAAGGUCAUUGACCCCAAAAAAGCCAAGGCCAUGAAGAGCAAGGAGCCCGUGAAGAAGAUCUUUGUUGGUGGUCUCUCUCCAGACACUCCUGAAGAGAAAGUCAGAGAGUACUUUGGUGCCUUCGGAGAGGUGGAGUCUAUUGAACUACCCAUGGAGAACAAAACAAACAAAAGGAGAGGCUUCUGCUUCAUCACAUUCAAAGAGGAAGAACCAGUUAAGGGGAUCAUGGAGAAAAAGUACCACAAUAUUGGACUAAGCAAGUGUGAAAUAAAAGUGGCAAUGUCCAAGGAGCAGUACCAGCAGCAGCAGUACUGGGGAGGAAGAGGUGGAUACUCAUCCAGGUCUCGAGGAAGAGGCGGUGGUCCCAAUCAAAACUGGAACCAGGGUUAUGGCAACUACUGGAAUCAAGGCUACGGGAAUUAUGGCAAUUAUGGCAAUUAUGGCAAUUAUGGUUACAGUAACCAAGGAUAUGGUGGCUAUGAUUACCCUGGCUACAACAACUAUUAUGGAUAUGGUGACUACAACAACUUUGCGACACACUUCUAGAUCAAUCCGGUGGAUACGGCAAGUCGCCACGGCGUGUAGGUCACACCAACAGUUACAAGCCGUAUUAAUGGAGGAAACCCUCAACUUCAAGUAGCGGAGCUUCCUUGCAGGCCAUGAGCUGACUCCCAGAUACUCUCAGGGCCCGCUCAAUGCGGACCGGGUACGAGAAGCAUACGCUCUCGAAUGCUGCCAUUUGGUAUGGUCUUACAACAUCCUGUAUCAGCAUUUCUAAACUAAACAAUAUGGGACACGUCCAAGCUUUGUCAUCUUUCUUUCCAUUUUAAUUUCUUUGCAAAUGUUUGUAAUGUAAAACUUAAAAAUAUACACAUGUAAUUGUCAUUUUUUACAGGCCCUUACUUCACCCACAAGUAAUGAUUAUAAAUAUGUAAAAAUAACUAUUUGCUUUUCAAAGGAAACGUACAGCAUUCUCUGGACUUUCCAGUUCCUAUUGUUAAUAUAUGCAUUCCUAAUCUUAUGUAAAAUGCUUGUUUUCUUUAUUUAGCUCUUGUAGCCAGUAGUCCAUGAGCUAAAACCUGGUUGGAGACUGUGUCGGGGGGGAUAAAAGUGCUUUACUUUGUGUACAUGUAUUGCUCUGUUUUGUCUUACUGACAGCGAUGGAAAAGACUUCUCUUUUUGUUAAUUUUCCUGUAACAAAUUUUCCUCUUAAUAACCUUUUGUAAAACAACAAGUUUGCAUGUAAUGCUUUCUGUAAUGUGUAUUUUUUAUGACCAAUCGAAGGUUUUCUUCCAUUUAGUAUUUUGACUUCUUCAAUUUAUUGCACUUCAGGAUUUCUAGCUUAUGGACUAACUUUUUUUUUUUAACUGUAAAAUAAUUGUUCUCAGUUUGUUUUUGACAUUGGACAUUAUAAACACGGGGGAUUCCUGUUUAUUUUUUAAUUUUAACAGGUUUUUGUUCAUCUAAAACUGAUUUGUUUCUGUUUGUUUUUCAUAGGUUUCAGAGUGAUGAAAGACAGCAGUGGGCUGGUGGAGCAUUGGCCAGAGAGAUGAUGGUAUCCAGCAAAGAGCACUAAGCUGAUUGUAAGAGAAUAAUGAAGAGCGCUAUGAACCUACAGCACAUUUCCUCUACAUUUACCGGCGUGUUCGUUGUUACAAGUUUUGGUGUUUUUGCAUUUAUUUAGAUUGCUGCAAAGUUUUAGCAGUUUGCGUUCCUCAUCUCUUCUUGUUUUUGUAUUUAAUGUUUCUCAGAUGCUAUUUGUGAAUUUGCUUCAUUUAUUAUUACACAGACUGAAAUGUUAGAUUGGUUGGAACAGAUUGCACAUAUAUAUAUAUAUAUUAUACAGUUUUGUGGUAGCAAAGAAUGCAUCAAAUGCAAUUUAUCCUCUUUAUCAUAUUUAUCAGUCAUAUAAUACAUUUGUCAUUACAGAGUUUCAGUCAUAAACAUACAGUAUAUAUAAGUUAAUAUAUAUAUACAGUUAAUUGGACAUACAGAAAUGCGAUAAAAUAAAAAUAAACAUUUGGAUUUGUGAUCCUUUGUGAAAUAUUACACGUCAAAGACUGUUGGAGUGUUCAAGGAAGUAAUUCAGCCAAGUUUCUAUCAUCGUAUCGCAGAGCAGCCUAAUCAAUAAGCUUGCAGAUGUU